Molecule: long non-coding RNA, 406 nt
Filed under: Mytilus galloprovincialis (Mediterranean mussel)
Lineage: Eukaryota; Metazoa; Mollusca; Bivalvia; Mytilida; Mytilidae
Source: RNAcentral
AUUUAAUUCCUAAUAAUUAGACAGUUUGUCUAAUUUAAAAGGUAAGUUGGUUAUAAUCUUCGUGAUGUUUUGAAUCAUAAUCGAAGUUUUAACUUAUUUGAAAAAAAACUGUGGUUUUUUAUAUUGAUACAUCUAAACACCUCAGGUAAACAUGAUUAUACACAACAUCAAAGUGUACAACACAAAGUUGUCAAAAAAUAAAUAAUCAAAAGGUUAAAGAAGGAGACAAAAAAAGUGUGUAUUAUACAAUAUUGAAUAAUAUAUUAUUAUUAAUUUUUUUUUAACAUGUGUUAGAUGUUACAGUACAUUAUUGUCACCUGACAUGCUCAAGUCAUGUGACAUAAUACUUGGGUCAUGUGACUUCAGUGAUAUUCUUUAUUAUUUAUGAUCAUUUAUGAAGUUAAGG